CCCUUAGAUGUUCUGGGCCGCACGCGCGCUACACUGACGAAGUCAGCGAGUAUGUCCUACGCCGACAGGUGCGGGGAAUCUUGUCAAACUUCGUCGUGAUGGGGAUUGAUUAUUGAAAUUCUUGAUCAUCAACGAGGAAUUCCUAGUAAGCGCAAGUCAGCAGCUUGCGUUGAUUACGUCCCUGCCCUUUGUACACACCGCCCGUCGCUACUACCGAUUGAAUGGUUUAGUGAGAUCUUCGGAUUGGCGCCACUGCGGCUCAGCAAUGGGCUCGGUGGAUGCCGAAAAGUUGAUCAAACUUGAUCAUUUAGAGGAAGUAAAAGUCGUAACA
RNAcentral lists this ribosomal RNA (331 nucleotides) under uncultured eukaryote. Its description in RNAcentral is "partial 18S ribosomal RNA". It matches the Rfam family "Eukaryotic small subunit ribosomal RNA", at positions 1470 to 1796 of the family's 1831-position model. The record is from RNAcentral.